GUCGCGUUCCCGAAGCCAACACUACUCCCCAGCCCCUCCGGGAGGUGUGACUCCACCUCCUGCCCGGUUCGCUGGGAUCAACCGCGGGCGCGUUUACCGCUCCUGCAAAGUAAGAAGGCUUAUCUUCUUAUCGAUUUCUCUGACCAUCUCCAAAUAAGUGUCUACGUCCUAGGUGCUGUUUUUCUUUAGCUCUGCCAAGUUUUGCAACUUGCAGAACAUCCAGUUGUUCAGAAACUUGUAGAUCCCAGUCUUUUCAUCCAUCGUUUUACAAAACUUUUGCUGGGAAGAAGAAAUAAUGAUGUCUCGGACACAGCUUUAUGCAUUGUAGCUAGCAUGAAGAGAGAUUGGAUGCAGGCAGGUGUUUCCUCUUUCUUUUGUCCUUCAUAACUUUUCUUUCACAAGGCUGUGAUUGGCUUUACUGCCCUGCUCUAUGUUCCAGACUGGGAGGAAGCCAAGCAGAUUAUGUGGUGCAGCAUUAUACAUUGCUGCACUCUCUCAUGGGUGUAAUUACACCAAGGCAGAUAUUGUCUCUGUUGUGCAUGUGUGUGAGGCCACUCUAACGAAGCGAUUGAUAGAGUUCGAAAAUACAGAUUCUGGCAGCUUAACAGUA
Molecule: long non-coding RNA, 610 nt
Organism: Zea mays
Lineage: Eukaryota; Viridiplantae; Streptophyta; Magnoliopsida; Poales; Poaceae
Exons: 5
Source: RefSeq, a predicted model, not a curated record